Platichthys flesus (European flounder) is the source of this 1260-nucleotide long non-coding RNA. RefSeq lists it as uncharacterized. The record is from RefSeq and is a predicted model, not a curated record. NCBI's taxonomy places the organism in Eukaryota, Metazoa, Chordata, Actinopteri, Pleuronectiformes, Pleuronectidae. The transcript is spliced from 2 exons.
GCGACUGAAAGGUCAGUAGUAUGAGGUUUUGAUCCGGGGAUGAGACACCCGCCCCGGGAGUGUGGGGUAAACGGCGGAGAGGGACCCCUGACUCGUCUGGAGAAGGAGUGGAUCUUUCAGCGGGCUUAUAGCCGCUGUGUGUUGUCAAGGCAGCGGAGCAUUAGUGCCUGGAAAGGCCCAUCGACGCCGCCUGGUUACGAUCGGGGGGAGAAUCCCAGGAGGUCUGAGCUCGACCCCAAAUACACCAGCCCAGUAAGAUGAGAGGUAAUGAGCACAGCAGACGCGCCAGGCGGUCCUUUCAGUCUUUGUUGACGUCCACCUGUCUUCCUUUGCUUACGAAUACACCUGCGCACUUAGCAGAGCAGCUGAGGAGCAGCGGUGAUGGUUGAGAUCAAAGCCCGGACCACUCAAUCCUCAGGGUUUAGUCCUUGUUGGUACGAGUAAAGACGGCAGAGCCCAAAGAGCACACCUUCACACUCAAGGCUCCAAAGUUCCCCUCAGAUCAUCGUAAUCCACCUGGAUUGUUUCUGACAGGACAGGGAUCCUCCUGCUGGCCUGAACCCCCCUGUCCGCUCUGGAGUACAACCCACACCAGAACCCCGACCCCAGACCCAAACCAGGCACCGCUCUGCCAAAGUCCACAAGCAGCUGGAGAACAUGGACCUUUUCACCCUCAGAGUGUGAUCUGGUCCUGCUGGAGCUCAGCUGCAGAGCACAAGGAAGUCAAAUCCCAUUCAUUUUCUUAUUAGAGAUGGUAAAGAGAAACAAUGUUUAAUGAUAACUUCUACCCACAAUCCUCAGGUGUGAUAGCGACACAAUCCUGAAUACCCCAAUCAUAAAAAUAAUGCUGGUUACAAUCUGAUCGUUCAGCGUUAUAUUACGUUCAGUACAGAGCUAACACUGUUUAACUUCUUAAAAAAAAUAUACAAAUUAUAAAAUUGUACCUUUGCCUUUUUUUGUUUUCCAAAAUAUUUUUGCUCCAGAUCAUGUUUUUAAAAUUCCAACGUUUUGUUAUUUUAGGUGUCUUCAACCACUGUUUCCAAAUAGAUUUUUAUCUUUGAAUGUUAUAUCUACAUUAAUCAACAUACAGCACAACAACUCGGUAGACAACACAAAAAAAGUCAUGUUCACAUUUGUUUCAUUUAUAUAUAAAUAUAAAAGGUCAAAUCCAAAGAUUGUGUUUCUGUAAAUAUGUCUCACACAACUGGGCUGUUGGUGAAAUAUACUGAAGCCAUAUAAAUUUACAUGUUGUGUAUCACA